RNAcentral lists this ribosomal RNA (396 nucleotides) under Triticum aestivum (bread wheat). RNAcentral describes it as "partial small subunit ribosomal RNA". Lineage: Eukaryota; Viridiplantae; Streptophyta; Magnoliopsida; Poales; Poaceae. The record is from RNAcentral.
AUGAAAAUAACAAGAGAAAAGGAAAUAAACUUCCACCCCUCUCUCCCACGCUACCUCUCUUCCGCCGCCGCCACCUCCCAUCCAAGAUCCUCUGGCUCUGUCGUGCAUUCCACCGGAGGAAGGGCCCCUUCCGAGACCCGCUUCUCCGCUGAGUCAGUUCGUGUGGGAGCCGUUGUCGUCCUCUCCCCUCAGUGCGCGGCGCCAGAGAGAGCGACAAGGAGGUCCAGCAGUCCAUGCCGCCAUCGUCCUACCUCGUUGUGUGGCGUCGAAGAGAAGGACGAGGAGGUUGAGCAGUCCGUGCUGUCUUCGCCAUCGCCUGAUCUGGUUAAAGUUGGAGCCACAAACUGGUGGAACCUCCCCCAGCUCCCCGCCCUCGCCCACAAGGACAAAGACUAG